ACGCUCGACACCUACGGAGGCAGCAGUUGGGAAUAUUGGACAAUGGAGGAAACUCUGAUCCAGUGACGCCGCGUGAAGGAAGAAGGUCUUCGGAUUGUAAACUUAUUUUGUCAGGGAAGAAAAUGACUGUACCUGAAGAAAAAGCACCGGCUAACUACGUGCCAGUAGCCGCGGUAAUCUGAGCGGGCGUGGCAAGGC
This 198-nucleotide ribosomal RNA is filed under the name uncultured bacterium. RNAcentral's name for it is "partial 16S ribosomal RNA". It matches the Rfam family "Bacterial small subunit ribosomal RNA", at positions 328 to 538 of the family's 1533-position model. The record is from RNAcentral.